Molecule: non-coding RNA, 3548 nt
Organism: Physcomitrium patens
Lineage: Eukaryota; Viridiplantae; Streptophyta; Bryopsida; Funariales; Funariaceae
Source: RefSeq, a predicted model, not a curated record
UCAUUGAAGUUGGUAGAAUGGUAUCCAUAGCUUUUAUCUGUGCACAGAUUAGCAUGGUCUUUGCUUAUGUGCUCACACUUUGCAAUGGUGUUCACUUCAAUGAGGGACCAGAUAUGGCUUGUCCUUCUUGCCGAUAUCCGUGUUUAGAGCAUCCUUAAAAAGGUAGCAUGCGGCUCCAUGUGUGAUCUACUUAUACGCGGUUGCGAUAGUUAUUUGGUAUCCCACCAAUGGCACGAGGGUAUGUCGACCUUAUACGCACCUUUGUUCGACUCUUGGGGGGAAAAUUCAAACCUUCCCAGCUGGAAUUUUGCAAGUGACCACUGGAAGAUCCUGUCGCUCUGCUUCGGAGCUGUGCUUCUCCUACUACUUGUCUAGGUUCUAACCUUGUGGCCGUAGGGUUUUGAGGGGUGAUUCUUUAUGUGUCUCGAAUCCUAAUUGGUGCUCCGACUGCGGAGUAUCCUCCGCAUAAUUUGUCUAUGCAUUUUUUGUUCUCUAGGCCAAAUCGCCAAAAUCUUACCACGUUGGGUAGACAUCGGAAUUCUUGUGGGUGCACCGAAUAAACAUACUGGUCUGCUGAUGGCGACAAGUUUUCUCUUUAAUAAGUCACAGAACCCGUAGAAUGCGGAAAAUAGCCAUAUAAUAUACUAGCCAUCACCCAUUGUAGGUUUCGAUAAUAAUUCCCAACAACAUCUAGGGUGCCUGACUCUUUAAAUUGAGUGGACUAAAGUAAUUCGACAAUUUAAUUAGAUAUCUCUAAGAUCUUAAAUUUUGAGAUUGUAGCACCAUUCGCAAUGAUAGUUGAAGCACAAACUUCAUGACAAAGGGAAGUCGUUACAGAAGUCUGGAAAAGUGGAAGAACCCUACUCUUCCUUAACUCUAUCAGCUUAGGGGUCAAAAACUCUCAAGCUUCCACUAACAUUCAUUACACCGAAAAGUUAUCUCGUCGUCGUCUUCAACCGCUCCUAACUGAGAUGGACCCCUGUUGUCUUCGUGGUACAAUUCUAGUUUCUGAAUACCAGAUUAUGGCAAGAAACUAGACAGCACAGGGAACAUGGUUGCGAAGAGGAUAUGCUUCAUACAUUGUCACCAAAAGAGACUUUUGAACAGUAAGUUCAUCGUAUAGUCUUUAGCAUCCUUUAUGCACUCAAUACGGAGAUGUCAUGGGUGCGAUCCGGUGUAAUAGCUACAUCAAUGAGUAAGGUAACUACGAAAACUGCCAAAAUAUUUUAACCAACGCGACGGCGGCCUAGAGCAAAGCAUUUACAGGAAAGCCCCAAAUGAGGUUUCAGACGUUACUUCAAAACUGAAUCAUUCCCGACCGCAUCCAUCAGUCAUUUCCCAUGUACAACUCGUCCACACUGCUCUCAACCAGUUGCACCAACCAGCAUCCAGGUGCACGAAGGGAGAAGAGAAGCACAUCUCCCAAUUUAAUGCUGUUUUCGUUGCGAAAGUCUUCCCACCCGAUUGUGAAACUCAGGUUUCUAGUACUCGAGAAACGUAGUUGCACCACACGACCAGUUAGUCCUUGGAAAGUAUUGAUUCGCUCGGCGAAAAACUUUUCAUACUUGAGGAAGAAUUCAGCUGGCACACACUGUCAUAAAAUACGAGCACAAUGCAGAUAAUCCAAAGAACAGUACAGAUUGCAGCUACAACGUCUACUAUGUACCCAACAAGAUUCCAAUAAGCAAGCCAAAGUUAUUCAAGUCCUGUGGUUUCAUUAUCUUGUUGAGCACCAAGAUCGCAGCACCGCGUUCUGAGCUUACCAGUUUACUCGCCAGAGGGCUCGGGGCCUGAGUGACGAAACUCACUGGGAGCUUUGGUGCAGCGGACUUUUCGUGUAUUGUUGUCAUUUGGAGCUUCAGAGAGGAGACGCACCAUGAACGUGGACUUUGUUACCAGGGAGAAAAUCAGGUGAUCUCCAACCUUCAACCCAUUUUCAAGUACGAAAGUUUUCCAUCCAGAACCGCCAAAGUGCACUCUGUCUUGAACAUCGUAUGAUCUGAUCGUCAGGUGCACAACCGUCAGUCGGCCACUGGGUCCUUGAAGGAUGACAUUUGCUUUCAUGUUGUGUCCAUGUUCCUUGACAAACGGAGCUGGAAUCUCCUAAAAAGAAAUCGCGCAGUUGCUUAAGAAAGAAGAAAUGUGGCAUUAAGAGCAUACAGGUUUUACAAAUAAAAAGGGCUAGAACCAAGAUCCUGAAAAUGUUAUAACAAUCAGCAUGAACUAGAGUUGAAGCUUAUCAUUCACGUCUUUACCAGAAUGUUCAUAAGCAGGCAUACAAUUAAAAGAUCUGUAAGGAAACGAUGACCAAUGCUAUGCAUCACAAUGCAUGUUAGCGGCCCAUAAUUUCUCACCAGUGCAACAAGAUUGCGACUGUGUCGAACAGUCUUGAUGAAUGAAGGGUUUGUGGAAGGAGUAGUGCCGCAGACAAGUCUAUCCUUGUCUUCUUUUUCAUGGGAAGACAUAUUCUGUACAGUGGAGGUAACUCUGUACAGGGCAGGUAUGGCAGCUUCACUGGAUAUCCCUAAGCGAGAGGUUGGAAGGUCUCGAUCGAUCUUAGUUUCCUGCAGCAUUUGAUCCAUUCCCACAGAUUAGCUGAUCUUUGAUCUUAGUCCGUCUUGCUUCACAAGGACGUUGUUCUGCCUGCGACAUUCGUCCAAGAUGUCACAAAUAAAAGGUAAAUGCAAUACUCCUUGCUAAACCCUCUUAGCAGAUUGAUUUGGAAUUCGCAAGGCCGGGAAAGAACAGCUAAAUUACUCAGGAGUCUAUCAUGGGGGUUGUAUGUGUCGAGUGUAACAGAAGGUAACUAGAUGUGUAACCCUCUCUAAGCCUUCCAAAUAGGAAGAUCACAGGUGUUGAUAAUUGUCCCGUUCUUUGCUGAAGUACUCUGAUCUACCACUGUAUUGAUAUGAUUUAGGAAUGAGAAGUAGGUUCACCACCUCACGAAGUAGAUCACGAAACACCAGGCCUUGUGAAGUUGUGUCGCUGAAUUGGCCUUCUAAAGUUUAUCAACCUUGAUCAGCAGACUCUAAUCACAACAAAUCAUCCAUGUCAAUCAAUUGAAGGUGAUUUGCAAGGUUGAUAGAGUGAUGAACAUCCAUAAACCGUGCAGUCCGCCUUCAGACUACACUGAGAAAACAAUGUCAAUCAUUCAAUCAAUUCAAGAUUUGUACUUUCAAGCUCUUCACAGCAAUUUUGUCAUCUCUCUAUCGACGUUGUCAUCAUGAGAGAGGCAGGUGGAUUAAAAUGAUAAUAAGUACCCUCCAACUCAACUCAAUUCGAGGAAGUGACGUGCGCCAUUUGCCGUUACAAUCGUCUGAACAUCCUUGAUACCAGAGUAUGACUUGAGUAUGAACAAUAACGACAAUAAGCAUGCUUGGUGGGCCUGGAACUAACUUGAGCUUGUUGGACAUGACCACUCUAGACAACUAGCUAAGAAUCUCAACUGAAUAGUCUAUCUGUUAAAAACAGGUUCUUGCACAUAUCGACAUUCAGAUGAGCAGAUCAGUGUAAUCAGCCUCUUACAAAUGAGAACUCCAUUUCAGUUA